AUUGAACGCUGGCGGCAGGCCUAACACAUGCAAGUCGAGCGGAUGAAGGGAGCUUGCUCCUGGAUUCAGCGGCGGACGGGUGAGUAAUGCCUAGGAAUCUGCCUGGUAGUGGGGGAUAACGUCCGGAAACGGGCGCUAAUACCGCAUACGUCCUGAGGGAGAAAGUAGGGGAUCUUCGGACCUCACGCUAUCAGAUGAGCCUAGGUCGGAUUAGCUAGUUGGUGGGGUAAAGGCCUACCAAGGCGACGAUCCGUAACUGGUCUGGGAGGAUGAUCAGUCACACUGGAACUGAGACACGGUCCAGACUCCUACGGGAGGCAGCAGUGGGGAAUAUUGGACAAUGGGCGAAAGCCUGAUCCAGCCAUGCCGCGUGUGUGAAGAAGGUCUUCGGAUUGUAAAGCACUUUAAGUUGGGAGGAAGGGCAGUAAGUUAAUACCUUGCUGUUUUGACGUUACCAACAGAAUAAGCACCGGCUAACUUCGUG
This 484-nucleotide ribosomal RNA is filed under the name uncultured bacterium. RNAcentral describes it as "partial 16S ribosomal RNA". It matches the Rfam family "Bacterial small subunit ribosomal RNA", at positions 30 to 507 of the family's 1533-position model. The record is from RNAcentral.